CGUAUCACCCAAGACAACUUUACGGAGUUGACGAUUGACGGAGCGAAGCGACGUCAAAGCGUUCAUUAAAGUCGAGUUGGCUUAGGGAUACGUUCGUUGGGUAGGGGAGCGUUCUGUAAGCCUGUGAAGGUGUGUCGUGAGGCAUGCUGGAGGUAUCAGAAGUGCGAAUGCUGACAUAAGUAACGAUAAAGCGGGUGAAAAGCCCGCUCGCCGGAAGACCAAGGGUUCCUGUCCAACGUUAAUCGGGGCAGGGUGAGUCGACCCCUAAGGCGAGGCCGAAAGGCGUAGUCGAUGGGAAACGGGUUAAUAUUCCCGUACUUGGUGUUACUGCGAAGGGGGGACGGAGAAGGCUAUGUUGGCCGGGCGACGGUUGUCCCGGUUUAAGCGUGUAGGUGUGUGUUCCAGGUAAAUCCGGUUCACUUUAACACUGAGGCGUGACGACGAGGCACUACGGUGCUGAAGCAACAAAUGCCCUGCUUCCAGGAAAAGCCUCUAAGCAUCAGGUAACACGAAAUCGUACCCCAAACCGACACAGGUGGUCAGGUAGAGAAUACCAAGGCGCUUGAGAGAACUCGGGUGAAGGAACUAGGCAAAAUGGUGCCGUAACUUCGGGAGA
This 616-nucleotide ribosomal RNA is filed under the name Salmonella enterica. Its description in RNAcentral is "partial 23S ribosomal RNA". It matches the Rfam family "Bacterial large subunit ribosomal RNA", at positions 1154 to 1743 of the family's 2925-position model. Lineage: Bacteria; Pseudomonadati; Pseudomonadota; Gammaproteobacteria; Enterobacterales; Enterobacteriaceae. The record is from RNAcentral. RNAcentral also lists the same sequence under 1 other name.